RNAcentral lists this ribosomal RNA (722 nucleotides) under Kocuria sp. RNAcentral's name for it is "bacterial SSU rRNA". It matches the Rfam family "Bacterial small subunit ribosomal RNA", at positions 70 to 803 of the family's 1533-position model. Lineage: Bacteria; Bacillati; Actinomycetota; Actinomycetes; Micrococcales; Micrococcaceae. The record is from RNAcentral.
GAUCUCCCGCUUGCGGGGGUGAUUAGUGGCGAACGGGUGAGUAAUACGUGAGUAACCUGCCCUUGACUCUGGGAUAAGCCUGGGAAACCGGGUCUAAUACUGGAUACGACCUCCUGUCGCAUGGUGGGGGGUGGAAAGGGUUUGACUGGUUUUGGAUGGGCUCACGGCCUAUCAGCUUGUUGGUGGGGUAAUGGCUCACCAAGGCGACGACGGGUAGCCGGCCUGAGAGGGUGACCGGCCACACUGGGACUGAGACACGGCCCAGACUCCUACGGGAGGCAGCAGUGGGGAAUAUUGCACAAUGGGCGCAAGCCUGAUGCAGCGACGCCGCGUGAGGGAUGACGGCCUUCGGGUUGUAAACCUCUUUCAGCAGGGAAGAAGCCACAAGUGACGGUACCUGCAGAAGAAGCGCCGGCUAACUACGUGCCAGCAGCCGCGGUAAUACGUAGGGCGCAAGCGUUGUCCGGAAUUAUUGGGCGUAAAGAGCUCGUAGGCGGUUUGUCGCGUCUGCUGUGAAAGCCCGGGGCUCAACCCCGGGUCUGCAGUGGGUACGGGCAGACUAGAGUGCAGUAGGGGAGACUGGAAUUCCUGGUGUAGCGGUGAAAUGCGCAGAUAUCAGGAGGAACACCGAUGGCGAAGGCAGGUCUCUGGGCUGUUACUGACGCUGAGGAGCGAAAGCAUGGGGAGCGAACAGGAUUAGAUACCCUGGUAGUCCAUGCCGU